This is an RNA transcript of Lynx canadensis (Canada lynx), 2166 nucleotides long. It is a transcript of the gene named WD repeat domain 73, with no coding region annotated. The transcript has 9 exons. The record is from RefSeq and is a predicted model, not a curated record. NCBI's taxonomy places the organism in Eukaryota, Metazoa, Chordata, Mammalia, Carnivora, Felidae.
CCGGGAAGGUUCUCAGAGGCGGAAGUGGGGUAGCGGAAGCGGCGUUGCCAUGGAGUCAGCGGAGGACUGGCUGGUGGAAUCCUUGCGCUUGUACCAAGAUUUCCAUGCAUUCGACCUUUCCGAAGCCACACGAGUCCUUGAAUGGAUUGAUGACAAAGGAGUCUGUGUUGCUGGCUAUGAAAGCCUGAAAAAAAAUGAGAUUCUUCAUCUGUUAUUACCUCUCAGACUUUCUGUAAAAGAAAACCAGGGCUUAUUCCCAGAAAGAGAUUUCAAGGUACGCCACGGAGGAUUUUCAGACACGUCUGUCUUUGAUCUGAAGCACGUGCUGGACACAAGGUUGCUGGUAACCAGUGGUCUUCCAGGUUGUCACCUGCAUGUGUGGCAGGUGACAGAGGACAGUGACGUCAUUCAGGCUGUCAGCACCAUUGCCGUGCAGGAGGAGGAGGGGAGUCUCUGGCCUAGGGUGGCCGUCUUCUCUUCAAUGGCCCCCGGAGUCCUGCACGGGGCGAGGCUCCGCGGUCUGAAGGUUGUGGAUCUGGAAACUCAGAAGACCACGUACUCCUCAGGGGUCGGCGACAGUGAGGAGCUGAGCAGCCUGCAGGUCCUGGACGCGGACACCUUUGCCUUCUGCUGUGCCUCGGGCCGGCUGGGGCUCGUUGACAUCCGCCAGAAGUGGGCGCCGUCAGAGAAUGCCGGCCCCGGCCCCGGCCCCGGGGCCGCUGCAAGGAGGUGGUGUGCUGAAGUUGGGGGCCGACGCCGGGGCCCUGGGCCCAGCAUUGCCAGCCUUGGCUCAGACGGGCAGCUCUGUCUCCUUGAUCCCCGGGAUCUCUGCCACCCUGUGAGCUCGGGGCGGUGCCCCGUGUCCGCACCGAGCCCCGCCCCAGAGCUGCUGCGGGUGACCUGGGCUCCAGGCCUGGACGACUGCCUGGCCAUUUCAGGUUUUGAUGGGACAGUCCAGGUCUAUGAUGCCACAUCUUGGGACGGAACGGGGGGCCAAGUAGAACCUGUCUUCACUCACAGAGGUCACAUCUUCCUGGAAGACAAUCAGACAGAUACUGCGCCACUGGUCACUACCCACACCUGGCACCCCCACAAGCCGAGGACCUUGUUAUCGGCAGCGAGCGACGCCUCUCUGCAUGUGUGGGACUGGGUGGACCACCGUGCGGCCUGCUGACUCCAGCCUCUCCCUGCCCAGGCCUCUAAGAAGAGAAGGAGCUACCGGAAAGCCAAGUUUAACAGUGAAGUCAAGGGAACAUUACAUUUUGGAGUUUAAAAUACAGUUUCAAGAUGUGAUCAUUUUUACCAUUUUGUGAAGUCUUCUACUCCUUUCCCCCACGCCCCCUCGAGAGCUGAUUCUGUUCUCUUCUCAGCCCUGUUCAGUUAUGUCACACCAGUAGUUUGAAAAUGGCCAAAAUGGAAAUAUUUAACCCCACAGAAAUUGGCAAAUACUGCAGCAUACCACUGUGUAAGCUAUAUUACGUCACCAAGUAAAAGCAGAAAUGAGUUAUUUUAGAAAAUAGUAGAGUUAAUGCAUGAAUUGAGAAGCUGUUUUGCUGAAAAAUCCUGAUAAAAUGCAUAUCAAUCAGUCAUCAUCCAGCCAGAGAGCCAAACACACUGAAUAAUUCAGUCGUGGGGAUUUAGUUACGAGGCAUCUGAAAGCGGCUGCGAGGGAAGGUGGGGCCCACGACGUGAGCCACAGCAGGAAGUUACACGGAGGGUUACAGAGGGGUGGGGGGGACGGGUGACCAGAGCUGAACAGUUGGGCCUCCCAGUGGGGAGGGGAGCGCAGUACUCCUGCUGGCGGGGGCUGGAGCCACGGGGCAGGAGCGGGGACCGCCGAGGCGACCACGGGAGAGCGCAGGAAGUACAGACAGGCCGAGUCCCCUGGCUCCUCUCCUUCCGCCGCCCAGCAUCCUGCCCGUGCCCAGGACCAGAGGACCAGAUGUGACAGGAGCUCGUCCGUAGGGGAGCGCAGAGGGGCAGCCAGCAGGAGUCUGCACCUGCAGCAUAAAGCAGAGGGGACGGAACCAGGAUGGGUCUGAAGACGGAAGGCUGGCACCACAUCGAAACCUCUAUGAAUUAAGCAAGAAAAAGGAAAAAAAGAAAAUAGGACAAAGACUGUAAAAGACUACUGUGUACAAUUACAUGUUAAUUUGAAAAUCUCAA